Molecule: long non-coding RNA, 505 nt
Filed under: Heterocephalus glaber (naked mole-rat)
Lineage: Eukaryota; Metazoa; Chordata; Mammalia; Rodentia; Bathyergidae
Description: lncRNA (ENSHGLG00000037935.1)
Source: RNAcentral
GGCGUUUACCGGGAAAACUUGGCGCGUUAGUUACAACGAGAUCGACAGAGCAGGCUGGCGAGGGCGGCAAGGAGUGUGUGUCACUUUGUGUUGCAGUCGGUGAGCAGAGGCAGGAAGCCCAGAAGAGGCAGCGGAGGGGACUGGGGCCGAAGGCCAGCGACCCGCGCCCUUAAGUUCUGCUCCGGGAACGAAGCAAAAACGCCCCAGGUGGAGCGAGAAACCUCUGUACUUCAGCAUCCAUGGAAUCCUCUUCCAAGCUGUAUGUCAAAAAGCAGGACAAAUAUGUAAAUCCUGACUUGGUGUCUGUGGUGAAUUAACUAAUGGGCAACUUGUAACGCUCAGCUGAACUUAAUCAGUGUGGUCUGGGCAUAGAAGAUCCACCUGAGGAUUGUUGCCAAUAGCCAUAAAAAGAGAACUGGAGAGGAAGAUUGUAUGCUGUUGAUUUUCUAGGAGAAGCUUGCUGCGCAUGGUUUUCCUGAUGCGAACUUGACUGUUCUCAUCGGAG